GACGAACGCUGGCGGCGUGCUUAACACAUGCAAGUCGAACGGGGUCCAUGAGAGCUUGCUCUCGGAAGACCUAGUGGCGAACGGGUGAGUAACACGUGAGAAACCUGCCUCGGAGUGGGGAAUAACUCGAGGAAACUCGAGCUAAUACCGCAUACCUUCAUUUGACCGCAUGGUCAGUUGAAGAAAGAUUUAUCGCUCUGAGAGGGUCUCGCGGCCUAUCAGCUUGUUGGUGGGGUAACGGCCUACCAAGGCAACGACGGGUAGCUGGAUUGAGAGAUCGACCAGCCACACUGGAACUGAGACACGGUCCAGACUCCUACGGGAGGCAGCAGUGGGGAAUCUUGCGCAAUGGGCGAAAGCCUGACGCAGCAACGCCGCGUGCGGGAUGAAGGCCUGCGGGUUGUAAAGCACUUUCAGUGGGGAAGAACAGAUUCGGGUCAAUACCCGGAGCCCUGACGUUACCACAGAAGAAGCACCGGCUAACUCCGUGCCAG
This 494-nucleotide ribosomal RNA is filed under the name uncultured bacterium. Its description in RNAcentral is "bacterial SSU rRNA". It matches the Rfam family "Bacterial small subunit ribosomal RNA", at positions 28 to 511 of the family's 1533-position model. The record is from RNAcentral.